CCAUGGCAGGGGACUCUGAUCGUGCUCCUUUCCGACAGAGCACCUCGAUUCUCCUGGAAUUUCAGGUCGUCCCUUUCUCUCACCCUCCUCACCGUCCUCUGUGCAGGGCUCCAUCCCACGCAACAUUCCACUGGGGGCACCUUUGUGUUUGUUUUCUGUUUGCUUGUUUCCUGGAAACCUCCCUCCUGGAAUAAAAACAUCUUUAAAAGCUAAAACUGAUGACUGAGGAGCUCCUGGGCCCGCGCCCCUCUGCGGCCGGCCACCACCUCUGGCCCAAUCCUCCACCCUCUGCAGGUAGAGCCUGAGCUGCUUCCUCCAGGAAGCCCCACUGAUGCUUGCUCCCAUCCAGGGUGACUGCAGGAUUCGUGGAGAGGGAGGUGCGUCAGAGAGGGUGUGGACGUGAAGCAGGGCAGGUGCUGCCAGGCGACCGCCGCUGGACCUGCCGCAGCUGCAAGAAGACGCUCCCCUCAAACCUCCCAGGGAAACGCAGGCUGUGGACACCUCGAUUUCAGCCUAGCGUUGCUAUGGGAACUGGGCUGAGGUCCUUGCAGCAACCUUGAUCUACGGGUUUCAGGCCUGGGCAGGGGCGCAGAUGCUGGAUGCAGGUCCCUGCAGGGCCCUCGGCUUCGCCUCCUCUUACCUCAGUUUCCCCAUCUCUGCAAUGGCAGCACUUGGGCCAUUGUCAAGUCACCAAAGCCACCUGCAGGCGGGCUCCAGAGACGUGCUUCCCUCUCAGACCCCACUCCAGCCCUGACAGGAUACUGAUGGCGCCCAGCCAGAGGCUGGAAUGCUUCCUGCGUGGGGAAAUGUUGGGUUAAAUAUUGGGAUAUAUUGGGUGGAUAUAUUGUGUUAAAUAAAAUAUAUGAUUCAAAUUAG
Molecule: long non-coding RNA, 876 nt
Filed under: Homo sapiens (human)
Lineage: Eukaryota; Metazoa; Chordata; Mammalia; Primates; Hominidae
Description: HSALNT0145165
Source: RNAcentral